This 28-nucleotide non-coding RNA is filed under the name Rattus norvegicus (Norway rat). The record is from RNAcentral. Lineage: Eukaryota; Metazoa; Chordata; Mammalia; Rodentia; Muridae.
UAGCUGAAUUGGCGAACCCAACAUCAGC